UACGAAGGGGGCUAGCGUUGCUCGGAAUUACUGGGCGUAGAGGGCGCGUAGGCGGACAGUUAAGUCAGAGGUGAAAGCCCAGGGCUCAACCCUGGAAUUGCCUUUGAUACUGGCUGUCUUGAGUAUGGGAGAGGUAAGCGGAACUCCGAGUGUAGAGGUGAAAUUCGUAGAUAUUCGGAAGAACACCAGUGGCGAAGGCGGCUUACUGGCCCAUUACUGACGCUGAGGCGCGAAAGCGUGGGGAGCAAACAGG
Molecule: ribosomal RNA, 253 nt
Filed under: uncultured bacterium
Lineage: Bacteria
Description: partial 16S ribosomal RNA
Rfam family: Bacterial small subunit ribosomal RNA
Source: RNAcentral